Molecule: ribosomal RNA, 293 nt
Filed under: Klebsiella pneumoniae
Lineage: Bacteria; Pseudomonadati; Pseudomonadota; Gammaproteobacteria; Enterobacterales; Enterobacteriaceae
Description: partial 23S ribosomal RNA
Rfam family: Bacterial large subunit ribosomal RNA
Source: RNAcentral
GGUUGAAGGUUGGGUAACACUAACUGGAGGACCGAACCGACUAAUGUUGAAAAAUUAGCGGAUGACUUGUGGCUGGGGGUGAAAGGCCAAUCAAACCGGGAGAUAGCUGGUUCUCCCCGAAAGCUAUUUAGGUAGCGCCUCGUGAACUCAUCUUCGGGGGUAGAGCACUGUUUCGGCUAGGGGGUCAUCCCGACUUACCAACCCGAUGCAAACUACGAAUACCGAAGAAUGUUAUCACGGGAGACACACGGCGGGUGCUAACGUCCGUCGUGAAGAGGGAAACAACCCAGACC